CUCAGAGAUGACGGAGGCGACGGCGUGGUCCUCCGGGCAGUACCAGAUGGAGAAGUCGUAGGUGAAGCGAUGCUGCGCAGACAUGGUGCUGCCAGGGGGCACAGCUGCUCCCACGGCCACGUGGCGGGGAUGGAGGCCGGGCCGCAGCGGGGGCUUUGAAAACGCAGCGCUGUGGGUGCGCUGGGAGCACAGGGAGGCAGGCAGGGCUCAGGGGGGGCUCCCGGUGAGACCCCCGGGCCGGGCCGCGUCCCGAGCUCAGAACGCCUUCUGCCGCAUCUCGGCGAUGUCCCUCUCCAGUGCCGUGCCCGCCCUCUGCAGUUCUUCACGCUUCUCUGCAAGCUCCCCCCGCGCCUCCCGCAGCCGUCGGUUCAUCUCCACGUAACCGCGGCACUGCCGGUACAGCCGCUCCUGCUCCUCCGCGCCGUCCUCCUGCCCUGGCGCGGGGCCGUCACGGUCACCGCCGCUGCCUCGGGGGGGGUCAGCCGGGAGCAGGAGGACGGGGUCGGCCGGGGGUGCGCCCCGCACGUCGGCCAGGAGCUGCUCCACGGUGGGCGGCUCAGGGCGGGUGGGCAAUACCCGCUUGGCCUUGGAGCUCAUGGCGGGGCUCGCUGCACCUCCGGCGCCGCGCGCGCGCGCCCCCCGGCCUCGACAGCGCGC
Molecule: long non-coding RNA, 657 nt
Filed under: Gallus gallus (chicken)
Lineage: Eukaryota; Metazoa; Chordata; Aves; Galliformes; Phasianidae
Source: RNAcentral